AGAAAAGUAAGCUAAUAUAAGCUAAUGGGUUCAUACCCCAUACAUAGAGUGAAUACUCUCUUCUCUA
Molecule: transfer RNA, 67 nt
Filed under: Neotermes koshunensis
Lineage: Eukaryota; Metazoa; Arthropoda; Insecta; Blattodea; Kalotermitidae
Description: tRNA-Met
Source: RNAcentral